CUGGGAUGGAACGUGGCUAGACUUAGCGGGUCUAGCUGCUCAGGGCCUGAGCAGCACGCUCGGAGCCGUCGCGCGCCAAAGCGGGAAUCCGGGAAGCGGGCAACUCUGCAAUUAAUGCACGUAUUUUAAACUCCUGAACCUGCGGACGCUGUGCACAGGAAGCACCUCCAGGAGAUUCCAGUCCUGAGUAGCAACGUUGCCACUAGCUUCACGUGGGAAUGGGAUUCUAGCAAGACUUCUGAACUGCUCUCAGGCAUGGGGGUCUCCGCCCCGGAGAAAGAGGAGCCCGACAGUGAGAAUAUCCCCCAGGAACUGCUCUCAAACCUGGGCCUCCAUCAGAGCCCCCCAAGGAAACGGCUGAAGAGCAAAGGGAGUGACAAAGACUUUGUGGUUAUCCCCAGGCCUAAGCUAAAUCGAGAGAACUUUCCAGGUGUUUCAUGGGACUCCCUUCCGGAUGAGCUGCUUUUGGGGAUCUUUUCCUGUCUGUGCCUCCCUGAGCUGCUAAAGGUCUCUGGUGUUUUUAAGAGGUGGUUUCGCCUAGCGUUUGACGAGUCUCUAUGGCAAACCUUAGACCUCACAGGUAAAAGUCUGCACCUGGAUGUGACUGGUCCGUUGCUGUCUCAAGGGGUGACUGCCUUCCGCUGCCCACGAUCAUUUACAGACCAACCAUUAGCUGAACAUUUCAGCCCUUUUCGUGUGCAGCACAUGGGCCUGUCAAACUCAGUUACUGAAGUGUCCACCCUCCAGGGCAUUCUGUCUCAGUGUUCCAAGUUGCAGAAUCUAAGCCUGGAAGGUCUGCGGCUGUCAGAGCCCAUUGUCAAUAAUCUCGUACAAAACUCGAAUUUAGUUCGACUUAACCUUUGUAGAUGUUCUGGAUUCUCUUAAUUUGCCCUGCAGACUUUGCUAAGUGGCUGUUCCAGACUGGAUGAGCUGAACCUUUCCUGGUACUUUGAUUUCACUGAGAAGCAUGUGUAGUUGGCUGUUGCGCACGUGUCAGAGACCAUCACCCCGCUGAAUCUUAGCGGCUACAGAAAGAAUCUCCAGAAAUCACAUCUUUCUACUUUAGUUAGAAGAUGCUCCAAUCUUGUCCACCUAGACUUAAGUGAUAGUAUCAUGCUAAAGUAUGACUGCUUCCCGGAAUUUUUCCAGCUCAACUAACUCCAACAACACCUGUCUCUCAGUUGGUGCUAUGAUAUAAUACCUGAAACUUUACUUGAACUCGGAGAAAUUCCCACACUAAAAAACACUACAAGUUUUUGGAAUUGUGCCAGAUGGUACCCUUCAACUGUUAAAGAAGGCCCUUCCUCAUCUACAGAUUAAUUGCUCCCAUUUCACCACCAUUGCCAGGCCAACUAUUGACAACCAAAAGAACCAGGAGGGGCAUCAAAUGCCGACUGACCCAGCAAAAGCCCAGUUGUCUGUGAAGCAGUUACUGCAGGAUGGUGUCUCUUCUUUAGAACAGGGAAAGUAGGCAGGAAGCCCAAUUGAUGGAGUACUUAGCUAGUUUUAUUCUUGGUUUUCCCUUUGCCUUCAUUCUGCAAGUAUAUUAGGGAACCAUUUGAGAGGGAAAACUAUGAAAUCUUGCUUUUUGAAAUGAUUCUAUCACUGCUUUGCUCUUAAGAGCCAAAGUUGUAGGCCUUUCGAAAUUUUGGGAGAGUGAGCCUAUAAUUUCAAGAUACCUUAAAGAGCAAAAUUUGAGCCAACUUUUUCAAGUGCCCUUCUUAUUAAGUCCAUUAAGAGUCAAGCUCAAAAAUUACCACCAGCAAACAAUCUUCAUAGCUUAUAUAACUUUUAUCUAU
This is a non-coding RNA of Callithrix jacchus (white-tufted-ear marmoset), 1799 nucleotides long. The record is from RefSeq and is a predicted model, not a curated record. NCBI's taxonomy places the organism in Eukaryota, Metazoa, Chordata, Mammalia, Primates, Cebidae.